Molecule: ribosomal RNA, 468 nt
Filed under: uncultured bacterium
Lineage: Bacteria
Description: partial 16S ribosomal RNA
Rfam family: Bacterial small subunit ribosomal RNA
Source: RNAcentral
GACGAACGCUGGCGGCGUGCUUAACACAUGCAAGUCGAACGGACAGGCUCCAGCUUGCUGGAGUACUCGAGUUGCGAACGGGUGAGUAACACGUGGGUGAUCUGCCCUGCACUUCGGGAUAAGCCUGGGAAACUGGGUCUAAUACCGGAUAGGACCGCACUUUGGUGUGUGUGCUGGAAAGGUUUUUCUGGUGUGGGAUGAGCUCGCGGCCUAUCAGUUUGGUGGUGGGGUAAUGGCCUACCAAGACGGCGGCGGGUAGCCGGACUGAGAGGGUGGACGGGCACAUUGGGACUGAGACACGGCCCAGACGCCUACGGGAGGGAGCAGUGGGGAAUAUUGCAAAAGGGGGGAGACCCUGAUGCAGAGACGCCGCGUGGGGGAUGAAGGCCUUCGGGUUGGAAACGCCAUUCGCUAGGGACGAAGCUUUUUGUGACGGUACCUGGAGAAGAAGCACCGGCUAACUACGUG